This 71-nucleotide transfer RNA is filed under the name Candidatus Woesearchaeota archaeon. RNAcentral describes it as "tRNA-His". It matches the Rfam family "tRNA". From Rfam's summary of the family: Transfer RNA (tRNA) molecules are approximately 80 nucleotides in length. Their secondary structure includes four short double-helical elements and three loops (D, anti-codon, and T loops). Lineage: Archaea; Nanobdellati; Candidatus Woesearchaeota. The record is from RNAcentral.
CGAUAGUAGUUUAAUGGUAGAAUGGAGGACUGUGGAUCCUCAGAAGCGGGUUCGAUUCCCGCCUAUCGCCC